UAUAUUCCGCUUAUUGUCGACGCUUUUUAAGUCACAUGACCCGCUCAUGUCCCUAGAGUUAAACCGCCUAGGUCAGAUCAUUAGAGUUGCUAACUUGCUACGCCACAUCUAUUUUUCUGUUCUCUACUCAAAUUCAUUCUAAAAUCUAAAAUAAUCUCUGAUUAAUUCAUCAGUCGUUUUAAAUUUGUUCUGGAAAUUGUGGGAAUUUUCUUCUUCAACUAGUCAAUUUCAUCGAUUAAUAAUAGAGGUUCUGAAUUUAAAGAGAACAAGCAUCGCCAUACCGAUACAUCUAAUAAUUCAUUGACGGCGCAUCAGGCACAGUCAUGGCCAAUUGCAAUGCAAGGUCAAGAUAUUGUGGCAAUUGCUAAGACGGGUUCUGGAAAGACCUUAGGCUAUCUUCUUCCAAGUUUUAUGCAUCUCAAGCAGCGCCGCAACAAUACAUAAAUGGGACCAACCGUGUUAGUACUGUCACCAACAAGGGAAUUGGCAACACAUAUUUAAGAUGAGGCUGUGAAAUUUGGGAGGUCCUCCAAAAUAUCUUGAAUGGUAUGACAUGAUAUUUGUUUCUAUUAAAUGUAUUUAGGUUGUCUUGCUUGAUUAUUUUUAGUGAGGGCACAUCUACUUAAUUGGAAGUUGAACAUAAAUUUUGUUUUUUCUUUUGAUAUGUUCUUAAAAUAGGAAUCUCUUUAGUCUAUAUUUUAAUGUAUAUAACAGUAUGCUUUUUCAGUUUUUGUUUUCAAAACUUGAUCUUCGAGUUAUAUGAAUUACUACUAUUUCGAGUAGAUUUUUGGGGAUGAAUUUGAUAAAAUGGUCUGGGUCAUUGUUGUGGUAAAUUUUGGUUGGAGUCGUAUGCCAUUUUAUAUUGUUAAUUUUUCAUGAGUAUCUUUUUAGAAGUACUGACUGGUAACCAUGUCAAUCUCACUCCCAUACAUAUACCUUGUGCUUGCUUAUUUGUGCUGCUGUAAUCGAUUAUAUAUGGAAUUGUUUCAUCUCAUAAAGUUAUUCCCUUAUUUAAUCCUGCGGUGUUUGUAUGGAGGGGCACCCAAAGGCCCACAAUUGAAGGAGUUAGAUAGAGGAGUAGAUAUUGUGGUAGCUACACCUGGUCGUUUGAAUGAUAUACUAGAGACAAAGAGAAUUAGCUUGACUAAGGUCUCCUAUUUUGUGCUUGAUGAGGCAAAUCGAAUGCUAGACAUGGGUUUGAGCCACAAAUUAGAAAAAUUGUGAAGGAGGUACCCACUCGUCGCCAGACACUGAUGUAUACUGCAACAUGGCCUAAAGAGGUCCGAAAGAUUGGAACUGAUCUAUUGUCAAAUGCUUUCCAGGCCAAGUUAAUUUUGGUAACACAGAUGAACUUGUUGCAAACAAGUCUAUCGCUCAGCUAACUGCCAAUCUUUUUUUUUUUCUUAUUAAAGCAAUUUAAACAGGAGCUUUGGACCCUACUUUUUCCCUGGAACAAAAAUUUUUUAUGGUCAAAGAAGAGGAUUUGGAGGCUUUAGCUACUAAAUGUGAACUUAGGGAGGAAGAGAGAGGUUCCUGUAUAGUGGUAUACUGCUGUAGGUAUAUAUUCUCCAAAGUCUAAAAGAUUAAGAAACCAUAAUUGUGGCUUUCGACGACUAGAUGUGUAACGAGAAUAGUCAAGAAGAAAAAAGAUAUCCAUGUAUGAAUACCGAGAAACGUGGACUGGAAACAGCGUCGCCAAAAUGUUAGACAACAAAUGUAAGAAAAUCUUUCGGACAAGAUUAUGUAGACAUCCAUGUAUGAAUACCGAGAAACGGUCGAAAAAGGCUAACAACUAACACUGCAUUAUUUCAAGGACGGAAGAAAGAUAUAUUUAAGCUAUUUAAAGAUUUCAAUUAGUGAUUCGGAAUUUGUUCCACUACAACUAGUCACGAAUGAAUUCUAAGUUGCAAUUAUAAUUGUUGUAAUAGAAACUCAUUAAUAUGAAAUAGAUAUUGUAUAUAUGCUAUAAUAUUUAUAUGCAAUAUAAAAAUUUCGGUAUAAUUUUGUUGUACUU
This is a long non-coding RNA of Chenopodium quinoa (quinoa), 2014 nucleotides long. RefSeq lists it as uncharacterized. The transcript has 7 exons. Lineage: Eukaryota; Viridiplantae; Streptophyta; Magnoliopsida; Caryophyllales; Amaranthaceae. The record is from RefSeq and is a predicted model, not a curated record.